ACGCUGGCGGCGUGCUUAACACAUGCAAGUCGAACGAUGAAGCCUGGCUUGCUAGGUGGAUUAGUGGCGAACGGGUGAGUAAUACGUGAGUAACCUACCUUUAACUCUGGGAUAAGCCUGGGAAACUGGGUCUAAUACCGGAUACGACCAAUCUCCGCAUGGGGUGUUGGUGGAAAGCGUUAUGUAGUGGUUAUAGAUGGGCUCACGGCCUAUCAGCUUGUUGGUGAGGUAACGGCUCAUCAAGGCGACGACGGGUAGCCGGCCUGAGAGGGUGACCGGCCACACUGGGACUGAGACACGGCCCAGACUCCUACGGGAGGCAGCAGUGGGGAAUAUUGCACAAUGGGCGCAAGCCUGAUGCAGCGACGCCGCGUGAGGGAUGACGGCCUUCGGGUUGUAAACCUCUGUUAGCAGGGAAGAAGAGAGAUUGACGGUACCUGCAGAGAAAGCGCCGGCUAACUACGUGCCAGCAGCCGCGGUAAUACGUAGGGCGCGAGCGUUGUCCGGAAUUAUUGGGCGUAAAGAGCUUGUAGGCGGUUUGUCGCGUCUGCUGUGAAAGGCCGGAGCUUAACUCCGUGUAUUGCAGUGGGUACGGGCAGACUAGAGUGCAGUAGGGGAGACUGGAAUUCCUGGUGUAGCGGUGGAAUGCGCAGAUAUCAGGAGGAACACCGAUGGCGAAGGCAGGUCUCUGGGCUGUAACUGACGCUGAGAAGCGAAAGCAUGGGGAGCGAACAGGAUUAGAUACCCUGGUAGUCCAUGCCGUAAACGUUGGGCACUAGGUGUGGGGGACAUUCCACGUUUUCCGCGCCGUAGCUAACGCAUUAAGUGCCCCGCCUGGGGAGUACGGCCGCAAGGCUAAAACUCAAAGAAAUUGACGGGGGCCCGCACAAGCGGCGGAGCAUGCGGAUUAAUUCGAUGCA
This 920-nucleotide ribosomal RNA is filed under the name uncultured bacterium. Its description in RNAcentral is "bacterial SSU rRNA". It matches the Rfam family "Bacterial small subunit ribosomal RNA", at positions 33 to 958 of the family's 1533-position model. The record is from RNAcentral.